This 700-nucleotide ribosomal RNA is filed under the name uncultured bacterium. RNAcentral describes it as "bacterial SSU rRNA". It matches the Rfam family "Bacterial small subunit ribosomal RNA", at positions 94 to 823 of the family's 1533-position model. The record is from RNAcentral.
AGUGGCGGACGGGUGAGUAACACGUGAGAAUUUACCUUUAGGAGGGGGACAACAAUUGGAAACGAUUGCUAAUACCCCAUAUGCUCUAGAGUGAAACGGAUUUUUCCGCCUAAAGAAAAGCUCGCGGCUGAUUAGCUUGUUGGUAAGGUAAUGGCUUACCAAGGCGACGAUCAGUAUCUGGUUUGAGAGGACGAUCAGACACACUGGAACUGAGACACGGUCCAGACUCCUACGGGAGGCAGCAGUGGGGAAUUUUCCGCAAUGGGCGAAAGCCUGACGGAGCAAUACCGCGUGAGGGAAGACGGCCUAUGGGUUGUAAACCUCUUUUUUCAGGGAGGAACAAAAUGACGUGUACCUGAAGAAUAAGCAUCGGCUAACUCCGUGCCAGCAGCCGCGGUAAGACGGAGGAUGCAAGUGUUAUCCGGAAUCACUGGGCGUAAAGCGUCUGUAGGUGGUUUGUUAAGUCAACUGUUAAAUCUUGAGGCUCAACUUCAAAUCAGCAGUCGAAACUAUCAGACUAGAGUAUAGUAGGGGUAAAGGGAAUUUCCAGUGGAGCGGUGAAAUGCGUAGAUAUUGGAAAGAACACCGAUGGCGAAGGCACUUUACUGGGCUAUUACUAACACUCAGAGACGAAAGCUAGGGUAGCAAAUGGGAUUAGAUACCCCAGUAGUCCUAGCUGUAAACAAUGGAUACUAGAUGU